GCGGGUGUCGUAUAAUGGCUAUUACCUCGGCCUUCCAAGCCGAAGACGUGGGUUCGAUUCCCAUCACCCGCUCCA
RNAcentral lists this transfer RNA (75 nucleotides) under Thiomicrospira sp. Its description in RNAcentral is "tRNA-Gly". It matches the Rfam family "tRNA". From Rfam's summary of the family: Transfer RNA (tRNA) molecules are approximately 80 nucleotides in length. RNAcentral also lists the same sequence under 3 other names. The record is from RNAcentral. Lineage: Bacteria; Pseudomonadati; Pseudomonadota; Gammaproteobacteria; Thiotrichales; Piscirickettsiaceae.